Molecule: ribosomal RNA, 497 nt
Filed under: uncultured bacterium
Lineage: Bacteria
Description: partial 16S ribosomal RNA
Rfam family: Bacterial small subunit ribosomal RNA
Source: RNAcentral
GGGGGGGGGGGGGGGGGGGGGGGGGGGGGGGGGGGCGGGGGAAGGGGGGGGGGGGGGGCUCGUCUGACGGUGGCGGCUGACGGGGGAGUAACACGUGGCGAACCUACCUGUAAGACUUGGAGAACGUCGUGGAACCGGAGCUAAUCCCGGAGGAUGGCUGUCACCGCAUUGUUCAAUAAUGAAAGGCGGUUUUGCGUGCACUUGUAGGUGGAUCGGCGCCGCAUUAGCUAGUUGGUAAGGUAACGGCUUACCAAGGCAACGAUGCGUAGCCGACCUGAGAGGGUGAUCGGCCACACUGGAACUGAGACACGGUCCAGACUCCUAAGGGAGGCAGCAGUAGGGAAUCUUCCGCAAUGGGCGAAAGCCUGACGGAGCAACGCCGCGUGAGUGAUGAAGGUCUUCGGAUCGUAAAACUCUGUUAUUAGGGAAGAACAAAUGUGUAAGUAACUAUGCACGUCUUGACGGUACCUAAUCAGAAAGCCACGGCUAACUACGUG